GGAGGUGUUUUAUCCCCAGUUUAUAGAUGAGGAAACUAAGAAUCAUGUGAGACCCUUCUCCAGAGUUCUUAUUACAGGGCAGAGCGGUAAGACCAACCUC
This is a non-coding RNA of Callorhinus ursinus (northern fur seal), 100 nucleotides long. Lineage: Eukaryota; Metazoa; Chordata; Mammalia; Carnivora; Otariidae. The record is from RefSeq and is a predicted model, not a curated record.